CUGAAGAACUGAACUGAACUAAAGAUUUAAUAAGAUUUGAUGAGAUUUAUGUGCAAGAUUGAUAAAACAUUUAGUAUACUUGUACCUUAAGUCUGUAAAUGAUGCAUCUGACAGAAUAUAGAUUGAAUAGAGUGUAAUAUUGACUUAUAUGACCUUGUCUAUAGGUCAGGUUUUAAAGAAACGGGGAAAACCCGGAUCUUGGCAGAUGGCGAGCCAGAGGCGUGAGGAAGGAUCACAUUGAAGGCGACACACAUACACAUAUACACAUACACUUUCCUGAGUUUUAAGGAUCAAAACAGCCCAGUGAGUCUGGUUUGAUCUCCGGCUGAUGGUGAUUUCUCUCUCUCUCCCUGAGCGCUGACAGGUACGAUGGGCUUCACAUCUUCCACUCGGCGCCCGAUGACUCAGGGAGAGUGAUCAGAAAGUGCGAUGUUCUCUGCUCUGCAAAUGAACGGGCUCGGAUAUAUGGAAAGAGGAAACGAAACAAGCGAGCGAGCGAGCGCUGCCAAAGACAUGCGAGUGAAAGGAAAGUGAAUAAGAACAUAUGCCUACAUGUGUGUGUGUUAGAGAGAGAGGGAUUAAAGCCUAACCAGUAGAGACAAACACACAGAAUUACUUCAGUCGAUGUCUCCUCCAGUGAGUCAGAGGUAAUUGAAGUUUGUAGAUUUGUUUUCACACAUCAGUAUGUCUUUUUUUUUUACACUAUAUAGGUUACAUAUAUGCAGUAAAGUACCCUUGAUGUCCCCACAGUGAUGGAUACAUCUGAAAAUACAUAUUCUGUUAAUGCUUCCACAAUAAACCAGACAAUGAAAAUG
Long non-coding RNA from Centropristis striata (black sea bass), 815 nucleotides. RefSeq lists it as uncharacterized. Lineage: Eukaryota; Metazoa; Chordata; Actinopteri; Perciformes; Serranidae. The transcript is spliced from 2 exons. The record is from RefSeq and is a predicted model, not a curated record.